This 253-nucleotide ribosomal RNA is filed under the name uncultured bacterium. RNAcentral describes it as "partial 16S ribosomal RNA". It matches the Rfam family "Bacterial small subunit ribosomal RNA", at positions 524 to 776 of the family's 1533-position model. The record is from RNAcentral.
UACGGGGGGGGCAAGCGUUGUUCGGAAUUACUGGGCGUAAAGGGCUCGUAGGCGGCCAACUAAGUCAGACGUGAAAUCCCUCGGCUUAACCGGGGAACUGCGUCCGAUACUGGCAGGCUUGAAUUCGGGAGAGGGAUGUGGAAUUCCAGGUGUAGCGGUGAAAUGCGUAGAUAUCUGGAGGAACACCGGUGGCGAAGGCGGCAUCCUGGACCGAAAUUGACGCUGAUGCGCGAAAGCCAGGGGAGCAAACGGG